GUGCUUGUUAAGGCAGCAAGUGUACUAAAAUUGGAACACUACAGAGAAGAUUAGCAUGGCCCGGUACAAGGAUGACACACAAAUUCAUGAAGCGUUCCAUAUUAAA
This 106-nucleotide small nuclear RNA is filed under the name Carlito syrichta (Philippine tarsier). Lineage: Eukaryota; Metazoa; Chordata; Mammalia; Primates; Tarsiidae. The record is from RNAcentral.